GCGCGAGUGGUGGAACUGGUAGACUCGUAGGUUUCAGGUACCUAUGUUCGCAAGGACGUGCGGGUUCGAGUCCCGCCUCGCGCACCA
Molecule: transfer RNA, 87 nt
Filed under: Oscillospiraceae bacterium
Lineage: Bacteria; Bacillati; Bacillota; Clostridia; Eubacteriales; Oscillospiraceae
Description: tRNA-Leu
Rfam family: tRNA
About the family: Transfer RNA (tRNA) molecules are approximately 80 nucleotides in length.
Source: RNAcentral